AAGGAUUCUACACAGAGUCUCUGAGAGAACAUGGCCCUGACAACAUCUUUAUUUUGGACUUCUAGCCUCUAGAACUCUGAGACAAUAAAUUUCUGUUGUUUUUAGCCACCCAGUUUAUGGUACUUUGUUAUGGCAGCCCUUGGAA
This 145-nucleotide microRNA precursor is filed under the name Chlorocebus sabaeus (green monkey). Its description in RNAcentral is "miRNA (ENSCSAG00000024680.1)". Lineage: Eukaryota; Metazoa; Chordata; Mammalia; Primates; Cercopithecidae. The record is from RNAcentral.